AUCCGCCCGCCUCGGCCUCCGAAAGUGCUGGGAUUACAGGGUGUGAGCCACCUCGCCUGGCUUUCUAAACAUUUAUUUACCCACCCCUUGAAGGAGACAACCCCAGCCCUUUGGGCUACAACAGCUUCUCAGCUUCAAAUCCUCAAGAAUCCACAACUUUCUUAUGUGAAUUAAUGACCUGGUAUAAGCCUCAGUGGACCCUGAAAUCAAGAACUGGGGACACAGGGCUUCAUGAUUCCAGGGAGCAUCAAGGCAAGGGACGCAGGGAGAAGGAGCAGCCAGCCCCCACCGCAAGACUGGCCACAUCUGUCACGUCUGGAGAAGUCUGCCCAGAGUGGUUCCCCUGGACUAAGGGCAGGCAGCUUGGGAAAGAGGGAGCUCUUUCUCCUUGCCCCACCCAUCAGGAUGCCUAAAAUGGGAGGCUGAGAGGGGCCUGCCCCGAGGACUGAGCUGCCAGGCUUUCUGCUUCCAAGUUCUUCCCGGCUCCCCAUCUCCUCCUGCUUCGGGGAAGUGCACCUCCACCCCCUCCCCGCUGGCUUUCUAGCUUCUUGAAUAAAUAAUUCAGGUUUUGAAAUCUU
This is a long non-coding RNA of Sapajus apella (tufted capuchin), 578 nucleotides long. RefSeq lists it as uncharacterized. The record is from RefSeq and is a predicted model, not a curated record. The transcript has 2 exons. Lineage: Eukaryota; Metazoa; Chordata; Mammalia; Primates; Cebidae.